Molecule: small nuclear RNA, 103 nt
Organism: Otolemur garnettii (small-eared galago)
Lineage: Eukaryota; Metazoa; Chordata; Mammalia; Primates; Galagidae
Source: Ensembl
UUGCUACAGCAUCACAUAAAUUAAAAUUGGAACAAUACACAGAAGAUUAGCAUGGCCUCUGUGCAAGGAUGACAUGCAAUUUCCUGAUAUAUCCCGUAUAUAA